CGAGCUUGGAUGCAACAGCAAGAGGCUUUAUUUACACACGGGCUGUCUACGGACCUUUGAAGAUAUGGAGCUGGAACACUCAAAGGAGAAAUCAUAUGGCUAUUUUCUCCAAUCUAUUACCUCGUUUAAACUAUUUUUAAAAAUCCAUCAAAUUGCUUUGAGGAGAAUAUGGAAAAGAAAUUUGGAUGAUGGACAUCCAUGUUGAGUUCCUAAUUUCAGUGAAAUUGUCCCAAGAUUUAGUUCACUUAGGAAGGCA
This is a long non-coding RNA of Mesocricetus auratus (golden hamster), 256 nucleotides long. RefSeq lists it as uncharacterized. Lineage: Eukaryota; Metazoa; Chordata; Mammalia; Rodentia; Cricetidae. The record is from RefSeq and is a predicted model, not a curated record. The transcript is spliced from 3 exons.